Molecule: microRNA, 23 nt
Filed under: Gallus gallus (chicken)
Lineage: Eukaryota; Metazoa; Chordata; Aves; Galliformes; Phasianidae
Description: gga-miR-3537
Source: miRBase by way of RNAcentral
GUGAGUGCUGUAGGAUGGGGCUC